Molecule: ribosomal RNA, 492 nt
Filed under: uncultured bacterium
Lineage: Bacteria
Description: partial 16S ribosomal RNA
Rfam family: Bacterial small subunit ribosomal RNA
Source: RNAcentral
AUUGAACGCUGGCGGCAUGCUUUACACAUGCAAGUCGAACGGUAACAGGCCUUCGGGUGCUGACGAGUGGCGAACGGGUGCGUAAUGCAUCGGAACGUACCCAGAGGUGGGGGAUAACGCAGCGAAAGCUGUGCUAAUACCGCAUGUGAUCUGAGGAUGAAAGCGGGGGACCGAGCAGCAAUGUUUGGCCUCGCGCCUUUGGAGCGGCCGAUGUCGGAUUAGCUAGUUGGUGGGGUAAAGGCCUACCAAGGCGACGAUCCGUAGCUGGUCUGAGAGGACGACCAGCCACACUGGGACUGAGACACGGCCCCGACCCCUACGGGAGGCAGCAGUUGGGAAUUUUUGACAAUGGGCGCAAGCCUGAUCCAGCAAUGCCGCGUGCGGGAAGAAGGCCUUCGGGUUGUAAACCGCUUUUGGCAGGAACGAAACGGUGUCCGCUAAUACCGGGCGCUAAUGACGGUACCUGCAGAAUAAGCACCGGCUAACUACGUG